This 253-nucleotide ribosomal RNA is filed under the name uncultured bacterium. RNAcentral's name for it is "partial 16S ribosomal RNA". It matches the Rfam family "Bacterial small subunit ribosomal RNA", at positions 524 to 776 of the family's 1533-position model. The record is from RNAcentral.
UACGUAGGGGGCAAGCGUUAUCCGGAUUUACUGGGUGUAAAGGGAGCGUAGGCGGUGAUGCAAGUCAGAAGUGAAAGCCCGCAGCUCAACUGCGGGGCUGCUUUUGAAACUGUAUGACUAGAUUGCAGGAGAGGUAAGUGGAAUUCCUAGUGUAGCGGUGAAAUGCGUAGAUAUUAGGAGGAACACCAGUGGCGAAGGCGGCUUACUGGACUGUAAAUGACGCUGAGGCUCGAAAGCGUGGGGAGCAAACAGG